Molecule: ribosomal RNA, 537 nt
Filed under: uncultured bacterium
Lineage: Bacteria
Description: bacterial SSU rRNA
Rfam family: Bacterial small subunit ribosomal RNA
Source: RNAcentral
AACUUAACGUAAACGUUACCUUACGAAGGAGUAGUAGGUUGGUGCCUUCGGGAACUUAGAUACAGGUGCUGCAUGGCUGUCGUCAGCUCGUGUCGUGAGAUGUUGGGUUAAGUCCCGCAACGAGCGCAACCCUUUUCCUUAUUUGCCAGCGGGUCAUGCCGGGAACUUUAAGGAUACUGCCAGUGACAAACUGGAGGAAGGCGGGGACGACGUCAAGUCAUCAUGGCCCUUACGGCCAGGGCUACACACGUGCUACAAUGGUCGGUACAAAGGGUUGCUACCUCGCGAGAGGAUGCUAAUCUCAAAAAGCCGAUCGUAGUCCGGAUCGCAGUCUGCAACUCGACUGCGUGAAGUCGGAAUCGCUAGUAAUCGCGGAUCAGAAUGCCGCGGUGAAUACGUUCCCGGGCCUUGUACACACCGCCCGUCACACCAUGGGAGUUUGUUGCACCAGAAGUAGGUAGUCUAACCGCAAGGAGGACGCUUACCACGGUGUGGCCGAUGACUGGGGUGAAGUCGUAACAAGGUAGGCGUAGAUGA